RNAcentral lists this ribosomal RNA (416 nucleotides) under uncultured Lactobacillus sp. Its description in RNAcentral is "bacterial SSU rRNA". It matches the Rfam family "Bacterial small subunit ribosomal RNA", at positions 72 to 476 of the family's 1533-position model. Lineage: Bacteria; Bacillati; Bacillota; Bacilli; Lactobacillales; Lactobacillaceae. The record is from RNAcentral.
CUGUGAAACAAGAUACAGGCUAGCGGCGGACGGGUGAGUAACACGUGGGUAACCUGCCCAAGAGAUCGGGAUAACACCUGGAAACAGAUGCUAAUACCGGAUAACAACAGAUGAUGCCUAUCAAUUGUUUAAAAGAUGGUUCUGCUAUCACUCUUGGAUGGACCUGCGGUGCAUUAGCUAGUUGGUAGGGUAACGGCCUACCAAGGCGAUGAUGCAUAGCCGAGUUGGGAGACUGAUCGGCCACAUUGGGACUGAGACACGGCCCAAACUCCUACGGGAGGCAGCAGUAGGGAAUCUUCCACAAUGGACGCAAGUCUGAUGGAGCAACGCCGCGUGAGUGAAGGAGGGUUUCGGCUCGUAAAGCUCUGUUGUUGGUGAAGAAGGACAGGGGUAGUAACUGACCUUUGUUUGACGGU